RNAcentral lists this ribosomal RNA (253 nucleotides) under uncultured bacterium. Its description in RNAcentral is "partial 16S ribosomal RNA". It matches the Rfam family "Bacterial small subunit ribosomal RNA", at positions 524 to 776 of the family's 1533-position model. The record is from RNAcentral.
UACGUAGGCAGCAAGCGUUGUUCGGAGUUACUGGGCGUAAAGGGUGUGUAGGCGGUUUUUAAGUUUGGUGUGAAAUCUCCCGGCUCAACUGGGAGGGUGCGCCGAAUACUGAAAGACUAGAGUGCGGGAGAGGAAAGUGGGAAUUCCUGGUGUAGCGGUGAAAUGCGUAGAUAUCAGGAGGAACACCGGUGGUGUAGACGGCUUUCUGGACCGUAACUGACGCUGAGACACGAAAGCGUGGGUAGCAAACAGG